This 1025-nucleotide long non-coding RNA is filed under the name Macaca mulatta (Rhesus monkey). Its description in RNAcentral is "lncRNA (ENSMMUG00000065112.1)". The record is from RNAcentral. Lineage: Eukaryota; Metazoa; Chordata; Mammalia; Primates; Cercopithecidae.
UUUUUUUUUUUUUUUUUUUUUGUAGUUACAGGACCACAUUGUUAUUGCCCAGUCAGGUCUGAAACUCCUGGCCUCAAGCGAUCCUCCCACCUCAGCCUCCCAAAGUGCUAGGAUUAUAGGCAUGAGCCACUGCGCCUGGCCCAUGUCCUGUGGUCUCACCUGCUGUCUGCCAAUGGCGAAGCAAACAGAAUGAUGGCGCUAAUGUUCAACACGGCCCCAGGCAAGGUGGUGAGGGAAGGCCAGGAAAGUGGUGGGGCUGUAUUGCCGGAUCUGGCCAGCAGCCCGCAAUGCAAUGGGGCUCUCUCUUUGUUCCCAGGUGGAUCGACAGGUCGAGAAAUAAUAGACACAAGAUAGUGAAAGCUGGGUCCAGGGGGGUCACCACCUCUGGUCCCAUAGUGCUGCCAAUGCACUGGAUAUACCAGCAUUUAUUAUUAAGUUUAGUGAGGGCAGAAGUAGGUUAGUGAGGGAUUUAGGGUCGUUUGAUUAUGAGGUGAGAUGGUGACAUGGGAAUGAAGUAAUUCUUUAACAUAACAUCUGUAUGCAGAAGUACAGUAUACAGAUAAAUUAAUGUAGGGGCGUGACAUAAUUCUAACAGAGCCUUAAAACAGAAACACAGUCUUUCCAUAACCUAUGAUUAGCAAGAUAUUAAUCAGCAGUAACAGCUGCAGCAAAAAUUGGUUACAAAUAAUCCAUAGAAACAGGACGUGAAGCUAGACAACCCAUUAGACCAGAAAUUCUCAGAAGGGAGUAUGCCUUAACCCUAAAGAGGCCUAGAAGAGCCGUGGCAAGAUGAGGGCGUUUAUAGCCCUACCUUAUCCAUAUGGACAGGCGCACCCCAUGCGUCCAUUUAUAGGCUCUCAACAAGGUUCGCAUUCCAUUCCCGGAGCUAUGAACAUCUGCUUUUCUGGGAUAGGAAUCUUGGUGAUGUGAAACUUCCCUGACUGCACAUCCAUUCAUAGGCUCUCUGCAGGGGGAAGCACAUCACACGCUGUUGGCUCAUUCUGGCGGUCCAACCUGGCAUUGUC